CGCCCACAGUGGGACACGCCAUUUGGACGGUCUUGAUUGUUGUAAAUGCAUGCGCGUGCAUGGUGGAUGAGAUACCACAGAUUGAAAAAGGUGGUGAGCGUGCCUCCUCUAUCUCUCUCUCUCUCUGUCCUGAAGCCCUUAUCGUCUUCUCCUCCUCCUCCUCCUCAUUCUUCUUCUCUCUCUGUCUUUCUUCAUUUAAGCCCUUUUCUUCUUCUUCCUUUCUCCCUCUAGCUAACCUGCACCAUGGAGGUGCACCACUUCAACAUGAGUAACCCAGCAAGCAACCCAGAUGGCGGCGAUCGCUUCCCACAGUGGAGCUUGAAUGAAACCAGAGAAUUCCUUGCCAUCCGAUCGGAGCUUGAUCGCACCUUCAUGGAGACGAAGCGAAACAAGCUCCUUUGGGAUGUAAUCUCUUCCAAGAUGAAGGAGAAGGGCUACAACCGCAGCGCUGAUCAGUGCAAGUGCAAGUGGAAGAACCUCGUUACUCGCUAUAAGGGAAGCGAAACGAUGGAGGCAGAGAACAUGCGUCAAUUUCCAUUCUACGAUGAGCUGCGGGCCAUCUUUACGGCAAGGAUGCAACGGUUGUUGUGGCUUGAAGCCGAGGGGGGAGGGAGCAGCAGUGCGAAGAAGAAAGGGUUGCGAUCAUCGUCGGAGGAUGAAGAAGAAUCCAACGAUGAUAGCGAUAAGGCCAAGGGGAGUAAGAAGAAGAAAAGGUUGAAAUCGAAGGUCGGGACAGAAAAGAGCCGCGGAAAUAAUAGUAAUAGUAGAAGUAAUGUUAUCGAGGCGUUGGAGGAAUUCAUGAGGCAACAAAUGCAAAUGGAAGUGCAAUGGAGGGAGGCAAUGGAGGCGAGGGAAGAGGAAAGAAGCAUGAAGGAGAUGGAGUGGCGACGGAAAAUGGAGGCGAUUGAGAGAGAGAGAAUUGCUAUGGAUAACCGGUGGAGGGAAAGAGAGGAGCAGCGGCGGAUGCGGGAGGAGGCGAGGGCUGAGAAAAGAGAUGUGCUUCUUACAACUCUGUUAACCAAGCUCAUAAAUGAUGACAUGUAGCCAUCCUGUGGAGCGGCGGAGGUUCAGAUAUCGUCUGGUUUGGAUUAGGGUUUUGAAGAUAAAUGCUAGGUUUUCUUGUUCUCUUCAUUGCGGAUCCACACACAUUUUUGUUGAAUUUAGAUGUAUAUAGGAUAUUUUUCCCCUUGGAAUCACAACAUAAGAAUGGACCUUGACAUCUAGCUGUUUUAAAUUCAUACUGGUCAUACAUCAGCAUGUACUUGUGGGUGAAUUGGGGAGAAGAUGAGCCAGAUGCGUCUAUUGUGCAGGAAGACAUGAAGCAACAAUCAGAGUCGUUCAUCAUCAAGUCCGACCGCAUAAAGGAGUGCCUCGUAUCAUUUAUUUGGCAUGGCUUAAGGUACGAGGUCAAUAGCAUCAUUAGUUUGUGAUUUUCUAAUUGAUAUUACUGAGUAUAUAUGCAUUUCAGGUCCUAGUUAUGGAAUUAUGACUAUCCAUUUAAUUCCAUGAAAAAUAACAUAUGAUAUUAAAACUUAGGUGAUUCGAAGCCUUAUACACACAAAUUUGUGAUUAAUGAAAAUAAAAAAACGACUUCUAUGAAGUUUUAACCGUUCAA
This is an RNA transcript of Magnolia sinica, 1615 nucleotides long. It is a transcript of the gene named trihelix transcription factor GT-3b, with no coding region annotated. NCBI's taxonomy places the organism in Eukaryota, Viridiplantae, Streptophyta, Magnoliopsida, Magnoliales, Magnoliaceae. The transcript has 4 exons. The record is from RefSeq and is a predicted model, not a curated record.